UGGGGAAUAUUGGACAAUGGGCGAAAGCCUGAUCCAGCCAUGCCGCGUGUGUGAAGAAGGUCUUCGGAUUGUAAAGCACUUUAAGUUGGGAGGAAGGGCAGUAAGCGAAUACCUUGCUGUUUUGACGUUACCGACAGAAUAAGCACCGGCUAACUCUGUGCCAGCAGCCGCGGUAAUACAGAGGGUGCAAGCGUUAAUCGGAAUUACUGGGCGUAAAGCGCGCGUAGGUGGUUCGUUAAGUUGAAUGUGAAAGCCCCGGGCUCAACCUGGGAACUGCAUCCAAAACUGGCGAGCUAGAGUAGGGCAGAGGGUGGUGGAAUUUCCUGUGUAGCGGAGAAAUGCGUAGAUAUAGGAAGGAACACCAGUGGCGAAGGCGACCACCUGGGCUCAUACUGACACUGAGGUGCGAAAGCGUGGGGAGCAAACAGG
This 429-nucleotide ribosomal RNA is filed under the name Pseudomonadota bacterium. Its description in RNAcentral is "Proteobacteria bacterium partial 16S ribosomal RNA". It matches the Rfam family "Bacterial small subunit ribosomal RNA", at positions 355 to 776 of the family's 1533-position model. Lineage: Bacteria; Pseudomonadati; Pseudomonadota. The record is from RNAcentral.